UACGUCCUAGGUGUCGCAAUCAAUACAAGUACAAGAAGUUCCAACCAAGAACAGUAUUCAAGCAAGAUUGCAUAAGGAAGGUAUCAAACAACAUAACACAUCCUAUGUUAUUACAAACAUUCCCAUUAGAUUCAUUUUUACAUCACAUUUGCAUUAUUACAUUACAUUUUCUACCAAAUGCAAUUAAUGAUCGCAAUAUUAUUACAA
This 207-nucleotide long non-coding RNA is filed under the name Ananas comosus (pineapple). RNAcentral describes it as "long non-coding RNA (ACOM_LNC038289)". The record is from RNAcentral. Lineage: Eukaryota; Viridiplantae; Streptophyta; Magnoliopsida; Poales; Bromeliaceae.